Molecule: ribosomal RNA, 258 nt
Filed under: uncultured bacterium
Lineage: Bacteria
Description: partial 16S ribosomal RNA
Rfam family: Bacterial small subunit ribosomal RNA
Source: RNAcentral
CGGCACGGGUGAGUAACACGUAUCCAACCUGCCGUCUACUCGUUGGACAGCCUUCUGAAAGGAAGAUUAAUACAAGAUGGCAUCAUGAGUCCGCAUGUUCACAAUGAUUAAAGGUAUUCCGGUAGACGAUGGGGAUGCGUUCCAUUAGAUAGUAGGCGGGGUAACGGCCCACCUAGUCUUCGAUGGAUAGGGGUUCUGAGAGGAAGGUCCCCCACAUUGGAACUGAGACACGGUCCAAACUCCUACGGAAGGCAGCAG